Molecule: long non-coding RNA, 332 nt
Filed under: Aquila chrysaetos chrysaetos
Lineage: Eukaryota; Metazoa; Chordata; Aves; Accipitriformes; Accipitridae
Description: lncRNA (ENSACCG00020007797.1)
Source: RNAcentral
AUUGUUGCCUGAGUUUUGGGAGCACAGUGAUAGCUGGAAGGAACCUCUGAUCCUUGCUUUCCUGCCCCAAACAGAAGAAUAUGAAUGAUAACAUGCGCCAGUAAAUCUGAAACAAGUCUUCAGUCUUGCUGAAGUGGAGUUACGCUGGUGGUUUUGCAAGAGUGGAGAUUUCCAAAUAUUCCGCCAAUAUAUGUACAACUACAAGGUGACAUCACUGCAAAGAAGUGACAGAACAAGAGGCGGUGGGCACAAACUGAAAUACUUAAGAAAAAUAUUUUUACUGUGAUGGUGGUCAAACUCUGGAACAGGUGGAGGUGCCCAGAGACCUUGUG